CCUCAUUACGUCAUCUAAUUUAUUCAUUCUGAAACUUUUCUUUCCACACACAAAAUGGACCUACGAACACUCCGGUUGAGUUUGAAGAACAAGAAAAAACAGUAGAGGUCUACCUAUAUGGUUCAAGAUGAUGAUCAUAUAAGUGCAUGCAUCAUUUUGCAGAUUCUCAUCCAGGAUGAUGCAGUUUUACAAUUUCCAUGGAGGUGAUUGAUGAUAAUAAAUAAUCGGUGAAGUAGGCCUAAUAGAACAGCGACUAGACCACAAAGAAAAAUACAACCUACAGCAGUUAUAUGAGACUGGUGUAACAGAUGUUUUCAUUCAAGAAAUCCAACAAUUCAACAUUGAAGAGUCUGACUUAGGAACCACUUGAUGAAGAUGGAAAAGGUUUUUUUUUUCCAAGUCCAAUUUUUCACACACAAAAAAAUUAUUAUCACAACCCCAAAUUCAUGACGUAUGAAAUUUCUUGUUGAUUUUCAUUAAAACUGGUUGCAAAAGGAGAAGCUAUAAACAUACAAAUAGGAGCGGCGGAGUGAAGUUGAAAAUGGGGGGGGGGGGGGCAUAGGGAAAAUGCUGUAUUACAUGAAAUUUUUAAGAAGUUGCGAGCGAGCAAAAUCUGUACGAAACUGCUUAUAUACCCCACCCAUGAAUUAUUAAACUUAAUGCACAAAGGAUUUCCUUCAUAAGUAUAUUAUCGAAAUGAGAAUAUUGUUUUCUUGUUUCAAAGGGCAAUCGUCAUGGUGACCAUAAAACGGGUCCUUCUCAGGUGAAAGGGGCACAGAACAAGUUCUUUAGGAGCACUUUUCUUGGGUAAAAAGGGGGCAGUGAUUCGAGAAAGGGCACUUACAAGAAGGCAAGGGUUAACACAUGAAACGGGCCCUCAGAUGAAAGGGCACAGAACACGUUCCGGGGGGGGGGGCAUUUUUCGGUUAAAAAAAUUGCAUACAAGGAAGAGCACUUGGUAACACCUAAAACAGGUUCUCGUCAGGUGAAAGGGACACAGUACACGUUCGUGAGGGGGCAUUUUUCUUGCAUAAAAAGGCACUUUUCAGUGCUUCAAGAAGUAGGGGGAACUGUGCCCCCUCCUCCCCAGGAUCGCUGCCCCAGCAUACAAAAAAAUUCUUUUGGUUCAAAGUAUUAACAUACGCUUAAGAAAAAGGUAAAGCUUAAUCCUCUGAUAAUGUAAUAUUUUUUUAUGGCUAAUUAAUAAAAUUCACCACUAACCAG
Molecule: long non-coding RNA, 1224 nt
Organism: Lytechinus pictus (painted urchin)
Lineage: Eukaryota; Metazoa; Echinodermata; Echinoidea; Temnopleuroida; Toxopneustidae
Exons: 4
Source: RefSeq, a predicted model, not a curated record